GACGGAGGGGGCAAGCGUUGUCCGGACUUACUGGGCGUAAAGGGCCCGUAGGCGGCCCGGUGCGUCGGUGCUGAAAGCGCCCCGCUUAACGGGGUGAGGCGUGCCGAUACGACCGGGCUCGAGGCAGGCAGAGGGUGGCGGAAUUCCGGGUGUAGUGGUGAAAUGCGUAGAGAUCCGGAGGAACGCCUGUGGCGCAAGCGGCCACCUGGGCCUGACCUGACGCUGAGGGGCGAAAGCGUGGGGAGCGAAC
This 250-nucleotide ribosomal RNA is filed under the name uncultured bacterium. Its description in RNAcentral is "partial 16S ribosomal RNA". It matches the Rfam family "Bacterial small subunit ribosomal RNA", at positions 524 to 773 of the family's 1533-position model. The record is from RNAcentral.